GCUACUUUCAAUUAUGGACAGUACAUUAAUCCAUCCAUUAGACGUAACAUCUGGUAAGGUGAACUCUAUGCUUUCUCAUAGUGGCGAACAGCCACCACAUCACCAAAGGUAAGAGUCAUUACCAUUCUGCCAUCCUUUAUUUCUCUUACAAAGUUUGUCUCUUUGCCAUCCCAUUUCUGUACAUGAACUAGCUUGUCUCCAUCCAGGGUCACAACUGAUUUGCAGUUCCUGUCGUCGGGGGUGGUUUCAUCAAAUUCCUCGCCGAGUUUAAAGCUGAUUUCUGUGUUUUUGAAAGUGCUCUGAGUCCUGAUCACGACUUUGUCCCCCUCGCUGCUGAUGAUCACUGUGGGCUUAGUCACGUUCCCCACCUGCCGCAUCGCAAACCCCACUCCCAGCGCCUUCAUGUAUUCGUCAAAGUUGUGGCUGUCCGCCAGCUUCCACGUCGCGCAGAAAGCCUCAACCAUGGCAGCGGGUGCCGGAGUACGGGGAAACGCCACAGCCGCCUCACCGCCCCGCAUUUAAAGCCCGCGCCCUGCGGG
This 539-nucleotide long non-coding RNA is filed under the name Gallus gallus (chicken). The record is from RNAcentral. Lineage: Eukaryota; Metazoa; Chordata; Aves; Galliformes; Phasianidae.